RNAcentral lists this ribosomal RNA (253 nucleotides) under uncultured bacterium. RNAcentral's name for it is "partial 16S ribosomal RNA". It matches the Rfam family "Bacterial small subunit ribosomal RNA", at positions 524 to 776 of the family's 1533-position model. RNAcentral also lists the same sequence under 1 other name. The record is from RNAcentral.
UACGUAGGGGGCAAGCGUUGUCCGGAAUCAUUGGGCGUAAAGAGCGUGUAGGCGGCCAGAUAAGUCCGCUGUGAAAUCUCGAGGCUCAACUUCGAGCUGUCGGUGGAAACUGUCUGGCUAGAGUCCGGAAGAGGAGAAUGGAAUUCCUGGUGUAGCGGUGAAAUGCGCAGAUAUCAGGAAGAACACCCGUGGCGAAGGCGGUUCUCUGGGACGGUACUGACGCUGAGACGCGAAAGCGUGGGGAGCGAACAGG